AAGUCGUAACAAGGUUUCCGUAGGUGAACCUGCGGAAGGAUCAUUACUGAGUAAUAAGGGGUAGUUUCUUCUAGCUCUCCGCUGGUUAGACCUACCUCUUCCUUCUCUUCUACCCUUUUGUCAUUGUACUUCUUAGUUGCUUUGGUAAUUGUACUUGUAUGAUUACCAGAGGACACAUUUGAAAACCCUUUUUAGUAUCCAAAUAAUUGGUAUUCUAUUGUCUGAUUUUAUUACUUUAAUAGUACUAUAAAACUUUUAACAACGGAUCUCUUGGUUCUG
This 279-nucleotide unclassified non-coding RNA is filed under the name fungal sp. Its description in RNAcentral is "partial internal transcribed spacer region". The stretch from base 1 to 46 matches the Rfam family "Eukaryotic small subunit ribosomal RNA", at positions 1786 to 1831 of the family's 1831-position model. Lineage: Eukaryota; Fungi. The record is from RNAcentral.